Non-coding RNA from Xyrauchen texanus (razorback sucker), 79 nucleotides. The record is from the annotation of a RefSeq genome assembly. Lineage: Eukaryota; Metazoa; Chordata; Actinopteri; Cypriniformes; Catostomidae.
GUCCCAGUGGCCUAAUGGAUAAGGCAUCAGCCUUUGGAGCUGAGGAUUGUGGGUUCGAGUCCCAUCUGGGUUGAUGACG